GGGUCAGUAGGUUGGUCGUGCCACCGGUACGUACUGGUCUCACUGAUUCCUCCUUCCUGAAGAACCGUAAUGCCAUUAAUUUGGUGUUGCGGGGAAACAGGACUGUUACUUUGAAAAAAUUAGAGUGUUUAAAGCAAGCUAACGCUUGAAUACAUUAGCAUGGAAUAAUGAAAUAGGACGAUCGAUCCUAUUUUGUUGGUUUCUAGGAUUGACGUAAUGAUUAAUAGGGAUAGAUGCG
RNAcentral lists this ribosomal RNA (238 nucleotides) under Glomeromycotina sp. Its description in RNAcentral is "partial small subunit ribosomal RNA". The stretch from base 40 to 238 matches the Rfam family "Eukaryotic small subunit ribosomal RNA", at positions 686 to 886 of the family's 1831-position model. Lineage: Eukaryota; Fungi; Glomeromycota. The record is from RNAcentral.